Molecule: ribosomal RNA, 497 nt
Filed under: uncultured bacterium
Lineage: Bacteria
Description: bacterial LSU rRNA
Rfam family: Bacterial large subunit ribosomal RNA
Source: RNAcentral
AAGCGUGUAGGGCGAGGUCUAGGUAAAUCCGGACCUCAUGAAGCCUGAGACGUUAUGCCGAUCCGUUUAAGGAGAAGUCACUAAUCCCAUGCUGCCUAGAAAAGCCUCUAGCGAGCUGACAUGGUACCCGUACCCCAAACCGACACAGGUGGGCAGGUAGAGAAUACCAAGGCGAUCGGGAGAACUGUGGUUAAGGAACUCGGCAAAAUGCCUCCGUAACUUCGGGAGAAGGAGGACCCCAUUAGGGUGAAGGACCUUGCGUCCGGAGCUCGAAGGGGUGGCACAGACCAGGGGAAAGCGACUGUUUACUAAAAACACAGCAGCGUGCGAAGUCGCAAGACGAUGUAUACGCUGUGACGCCUGCCCAAUGCCGGAAGGUUAAAGGGAAAGGUUAGUCCGCAAGGGCGAAGCUUUGAACUGAAGCCCCGGUGAAUGGCGGCCGUAACUAUAACGGUCCUAAGGUAGCGAAAUUCCUUGUCGGGUAAGUUCCGACCUGC